RNAcentral lists this long non-coding RNA (768 nucleotides) under Equus caballus (horse). Its description in RNAcentral is "lncRNA (ENSECAG00000051335.1)". Lineage: Eukaryota; Metazoa; Chordata; Mammalia; Perissodactyla; Equidae. The record is from RNAcentral.
AAAACACAUGAGACGGAAUUGACCAUCUUAACCAUUUUCAGGUGUACAAUUCAGUAGUGUCAAGUAUAUUGAGAUUGCUGUGCAGCAGGUCUCCAGAACUUCAUCAUCUUGCAAAACUGAAACUCUAUGCCCAUUGAACAAAAACUCCUUCAUUUUCACCUCCCCCCAGUUGCUGACAAAUGCUUUGUUUACUUUAAACAAAGCUUAAGCAAUACAAGAUGACUCCUGCUCUUCUCGGAAGAACCUCUUACUGAGAUGGAAGGCGGCCCUAACACAAAAGCGAGAUUGUGACUACCUGGGGCCAUGUGAACCCUUUGGCAAGAAAACUUGUGAUCUUCUAGUCGAAUCAUAAGAAUGAAUACGGCAAACGUGAGGGGAAUGUCUUUCUCAUCAACACGUUACCUUAUCCAAGACUCUGUUGCUACUCAACUCCCUCUACAGUCUCUCUCUCCUUUGCUGUGUUUGAAGAAGCAAGCUACCACGGAUUCUGCAGCCACAAGUAAAUUAAUUCUGCCAAAAACCUGAGGGAGUUGGAAAAGGACCUCAAGCCUCAAGUGACCGGCCACACCUUGAUGGCAGUCUUAUGGGACCCUAAGCAGAGAACCCCACUAAGCCAUGCCCCGACUUCUGGCCUACAGAACCUCUCCCAGGUGCCUCAGCCUCCUUGAACUCCAAUCUCUGUGUCAUCAGUUCACCAAGAGCACCAUUCUGCCCUCCAUGUUUCACAGUAUGGAAUGUGCCUCCAGGCAGAAUUCCAGGUAAUCACGG